Molecule: small RNA, 124 nt
Filed under: Marmota monax (woodchuck)
Lineage: Eukaryota; Metazoa; Chordata; Mammalia; Rodentia; Sciuridae
Source: RNAcentral
GCUGGGUGUGGUGGCACACCCUGUAAUCCCAAUAGCUUGGGAGGCUGAGGCAGGAGGAUCGUGAGUUCAAAUCCAGCCUCAGUAAAAGCAAGGUGCUAAGCAACUCAGUGAGACCCUGUCUCUA